GAGUUUGAUCCUGGCUCAGGAUGAACGCUAGCGGCAGGCCUAACACAUGCAAGUCGAACGGUAACAGAGAAGAGCUUGCUCUUUUGCUGACGAGUGGCGCACGGGUGCGUAACGCGUAUACAACCUACCUUUUACAGGGGGAUAGCCUUUAGAAAUGAAGAUUAAUAUCCCAUAGUAAGUAAUCAUGGCAUCAUGAUUACUUUAAAGCUUCGGCGGUAGAAGAUGAGUAUGCGUUCUAUUAGCUAGAUGGUGUGGUAACGGCACACCAUGGCAACGAUAGAUAGGGGCCCUGAGAGGGGGAUCCCCCACACUGGUACUGAGACACGGACCAGACUCCUACGGGAGGCAGCAGUGAGGAAUAUUGGACAAUGGGCGAGAGCCUGAUCCAGCCAUGCCGCGUGCAGGAGGACUGCCCUAUGGGUUGUAAACUGCUUUUAUAUAGGAAGAAACCUUUCCACGUGUGGAAAGCUGACGGUACUAUAAGAAUAAGGAUCGGCUAACUCCGUGCCAGCAGCCGCGGUAAUACGGAGGAUCCAAGCGUUAUCCGGAAUCAUUGGGUUUAAAGGGUCCGUAGGUGGAUAAUUAAGUCAGAGGUGAAAGUUUGCAGCUCAACUGUAAAAUUGCCUUUGAUACUGGUUAUCUUGAAUUAUUGUGAAGUGGUUAGAAUAUGUAGUGUAGCGGUGAAAUGCAUAGAUAUUACAUAGAAUACCAAUUGCGAAGGCAGAUCACUAACAAUAUAUUGACACUGAUGGACGAAAGCGUGGGGAGCGAACAGGAUU
This 779-nucleotide ribosomal RNA is filed under the name uncultured bacterium. RNAcentral's name for it is "bacterial SSU rRNA". It matches the Rfam family "Bacterial small subunit ribosomal RNA", at positions 9 to 779 of the family's 1533-position model. The record is from RNAcentral.